RNAcentral lists this long non-coding RNA (3329 nucleotides) under Phoenix dactylifera (date palm). RNAcentral's name for it is "long non-coding RNA (PDAC_LNC003430)". Lineage: Eukaryota; Viridiplantae; Streptophyta; Magnoliopsida; Arecales; Arecaceae. The record is from RNAcentral.
GCAGUUAGUUACUCCAGUCUCGAUACAAUUUGUUUUGUGCAUGAUAUGUGAAAGGACCUUUUGUAAGACACAGAAAUGGGGAGUUGGAUAUCUUAUUAAUUUCUUAUAUUGGCUAUAAGUUGCAUCUUAUAGCAGGUUCUUGAUUUAUUAUUCAAUAAUAAUAAAAUCAAUUACAAAACUGUCCCAUAAUUAAUAAUGUGUCAGUCAGAUUGGCUUCUAGGGUAUACAUCUAACAUUUCUAAUUAAAAAAAAUAAAGACUGUUCAUGAUGUAUUAGCACUAUGCUCUAUGCCACUGGCAUUGCUAAAUGCAUGUACCCAGUAUUGAUUAAUACUUUUAAGAAUAUUUGUGUUACAACAACCAAAAAUUUUCAUGAAUAUAUUUUGCAGCCUUUGUUACAUCACAUAGAAUGUCACAUAUGGACUGCAUAAGUAUAAAAUAAAACUGUCUUUAAUGUUCUGUAUACUAGUAUACGUUGUCCAAAAGAUUGUGAAAGCAGUAUUACAAAUGUGUAAAACUUGUGCAUUUAUAAUGAACUAGUGAAGGUCACUCCUUUACCUAUGCUCUAGCUGGUAUUUUCUUUUGUUGUGGCUCAAUCAUGAACCACCUUCUCUUUAAAAGCUCUAGAAGCUUGUUAUGUGAUCUUAAAUGCAAGAUGAGAAAACUGCUUUAGAGUUGUCUUAUACAGAAUCUUUCUUUGACAUUUGGCAUGAUGACCUUUGCAGUCAUUUAGGUCCUUCAUCCAACUGACAUUACUGUUAGAUAAGCCAUGUCACCAAUUGUCUUUGUUGAAGACUUAAGAAAUCACCUCCAUGCAUCAUCCUUUUCAAUCUCGACAUUGGCAUUUGCUACAAAUAAGUACAAAGUCACCAUCAAAAGUUGAUGUUGAUAAUAAUGUACUUUGGUAUUUUUUUUUCAAGAUGUAUAAUUUUCCAACCAUAAAAGUGGCAUUCACCAUCGAGUGAAGAUCCAUGCAAUCCUAAAGUAAAAUAGCAAAUGCAGUAUCAACAACAAGGUUUGGCAUACCAACCCGUACCAACCGUAUUGCACUAUAUCGAUAAGGUACGGUACUGAGGUUCGGUUCGAUAUAUGAAUCAAACCUGUCCAUUCUAGUCCGAAUGAAGCAGAACCAUCCCAUACCAUCUGAUACCGCCCAAAACUAGGAUGCGAACUAUUUGUACCAUAUGACUUGUACUGCCUAGUUUUGAGUGAUACCAUGAUAGUGAGAAUGGGUUGGAAGCUAUCUCGAUACAAGGUACUUACUGUACUGACCAUACUGUAUUAAACCAUUAACAUACUGGUACCUUAUGAUUACGAGACUGCGACCUUGAUUGACAAUAUAUGUAACAAUGCUAUGUAAAAUACUUUUAGUAGGCUCUAUGUGAAAUGGACUUUUAGAAAUGUUUUCUCGUUGUUUUUGCAACUUUUUCCAGCGCUUCUUCCUUUUGGAUUUCUGUAUACUUUUCUUGUGAACUCUUGAAGAUGCACAACGUAUGGGACAAAUUUCAGUAUCAAGGAUUUAUUUCAGCCUUAUCCAAGCAAACCUUGUUCACCUGGAAAGUGAUUUACAAAUUAUAAACCAUAUGCAAACAAAGCAAGCAAACUUGUAGGCUGUAGUUAAGCUAAUUCAUCAUAAUGCUGAUUUCCAAUGUGUUAAUUUUUCUGUAAGUGAUAUGCUCUUCGUUAUAACCAAGGUUGGCUGUAUCGGUACUAGGACCCAUACACUAAAGUCAGCCAAGGGUGCCAACUUUAGCUUGAAAAGGAAAAAUAAAAAAAAUGGAACCCUGUUUUGUUUCGACAUAGGAAGUUCGUCCCGAUGAGGGGCUCCGUCUCCCUCCCUCCCUCCCUCCCUCCCUCCCUCUCUUUUCCUCUCUCUCCUGCCUCUCUCCCACUGUUGCUGGAUUUCUCAAACCGAUAGGCGGAACCAUGCCAGUCCGCUACUAGUAGUUCGGUAUGCCCCAAAUUGGGCGGUUCGAGAUGGUACCACCUUUCUUGGUUAUAACAAAAUCUUUGUUCAUGGACCCAAGUUUCUAGUGUUGUCCUAUAUUAUUAAAUUUAAAUGUGAAUAUAUAGUUCAUGCUUAGGCUAUGUGGUGCUCCUAAAAGUAUGCUCAGGCAUACCCACAAUCAUCAUGUGUCAUGGUGCUCUUUGCCUACUAAAUCUGUAUGCACUUAAAUGCUACAAAUAAUUAUGCUAAUCUCUUGACAUGGUACUGAAUUUUCUUGACAGGACUUGACGACCUUUGUCUGUGUUUGCAUUCCAGAGUUCCUUUCUCUUUAUGAAACUGAGAGAUUGGUACAAGAAUUGACAAAGUUUGAGAUUGAUGCUCACAAUAUCAUCAUUAAUCAAGUAAUUUAUGAUGAGGAAGGUGUGUAACAAGUCUAAAUCAAAAAUGCUGUUUAUUAAUCCAAUGAAAUAUGCUCCUUUUCAUGUCUUUCUUUUUUAAAGAUAUCUUAAUCCCGGUUUACAUUUAUUUUGUAGCUGUUGAAUCCAAGUUAUUGAAAGCACGGAUGCGGAUGCAACAGAAAUAUAUUGAUCAGUUCAACAUGCUGUAUGAUGAUUUUCAUAUCACCAAAUUGCCAUUGCUUCCUGAAGAGGUAGCAGUCCUUGCUAUUUGAAAGAACCUCUUGACAACAUAUUAUCUGAAAUUUGAUGAAUGCCUACGUGGUUCUCUAAUAGAUUGUGGACUUUUGUAGGUUUGUGGAGUUCAAGCUUUGAGAAAGUUCUCUCAGCACUUUCUAUCGCCAUACAAGCCCCCUCUGAUCAGGGGCACCGUAGAGGAGCUUAGGCAGAGGAUAUCCACAUUGAAGGUUCAGUUAGAAGAAGCCAAGUUAGAGCUUGAUAGACUGCAGAAAGGCAAGGGAAAGGCCUAAUUGUUCUCCAUCGUUGCAUUUCACUGUUGUAAUCAUAUUCCUACCCCAUCAUGAGGCUUGAUCAAGGCCACUGGCUUCAUCCUUUUCUUCAUAGAGGGCGUUGCAUGAGUCAAUUGAGAGACAUCUUACUAUUUCCUUCCCUUUCGGAUUUUCCUGAUUGCUGGCCGGGAUAUCAAUUUAAUAGUUGUUUAGCUGAUUUUAGUCGCUGGGUAAUAACCUUAAGUNNNNNNNNNNNNNNNNNNNNNNNNNNNNNNNNNNNNNNNNNNNAUAUGUGAAAGGACCUUUUGUAAGACACAGAAAUGGGGAGUUGGAUAUCUUAUUAAUUUCUUAUAUUGGCUAUAAGUUGCAUCUUAUAGCAGGUUCUUGAAAAUACUGUCUAGUUCUCGUUGCUACAUCUCAGUGAUCUUUUAAAAUGCGAGGGCUAGUAAUAUUAAUAUGCUAACAAGCGUCUUUGUUU